Molecule: non-coding RNA, 395 nt
Organism: Biomphalaria pfeifferi
Lineage: Eukaryota; Metazoa; Mollusca; Gastropoda; Planorbidae
Source: the annotation of a GenBank genome assembly
AUAGAAUGUUUGUGUCCCUAAACUGAUUGUUUAUGUUUUUGUUAUAACUCUUGGACAUUUAUACUUAUACAUUGAUGUGCCAAAAUAUUUUGUUUUACAUUUUCCAAAAUUAAACACUGUCAUUGCUUUGUUUCUAUUUCUUUGUAAUAAUUAGCUCAUAUAUUCUUUUUGCAUUGAUUACAUUUUGUCGCUAACCAGGACGGGGCAAUAUGUGGUUGAGAGGUCGGACACGCUUGGUUACGGUUAGGCCAUCUAGCUUUGUGGCUGGAACUUCAAUCCUGGACUCAAGCAGAGUUGUGUUUGCUGAACUGCCUCAAUGUAACAAAAUAGAUUGGACUAUAGGCUAUACGCAUAAGAGAUAGACUAAAUAAAAGCAAUGAAAAAAAAAAGCGAAA